UACGGGGGGGGCAAGCGUUGUUCGGAAUUACUGGGCGUAAAGGGCUCGUAGGCGGCCAACUAAGUCAGACGUGAAAUCCCUCGGCUUAACCGGGGAACUGCGUCUGAUACUGGAUGGCUAGAGGUUGGGAGAGGGAUGCGGAAUUCCAGGUGUAGCGGUGAAAUGCGUAGAGAUCGGGAGGAACACCAGUGGCGAAGGCGGCUACCUGGACCAGCACUGACACUGAGGCACGAAAGCGUGGGGAGCAAACAGG
RNAcentral lists this ribosomal RNA (253 nucleotides) under uncultured bacterium. RNAcentral's name for it is "partial 16S ribosomal RNA". It matches the Rfam family "Bacterial small subunit ribosomal RNA", at positions 524 to 776 of the family's 1533-position model. The record is from RNAcentral.